UCCUUAGUACUGCAUGCUGCCUAAGGCAUCACGCAUGCCCCCUUCCCUAGAAGGGGGUGGGCGGUAUCUAGAAUCAAGUUUGGACCCAAGGCUUGAUGUUUGCUGUCCCUAAAGAGUUCGGAUUGCCAUGGACUCUUACAGAGAGGGAUCCAUCGCUGGUCUCUUCAAGUCCAUGUGGGGAAAGACGAUCUUUCAAUAUGGUAUCAGAGCGAUAUUGGGGUUUCAACAUGGUAUCAGAGCGGUACCGAGUUUCAAUAUCCCUUCAUCUCGCCAAGACUUAAAACCUUGCUUUUAACAUAUCCAACUUUGAGAUAUAGUCACCUAUUUUGCCAUGUUUGGUGUGUAGUGGUUGCAUCUAUCAUCCAAGGUUUCAAAUGCCAAACCAUGCUGACGAGUGUAUAUUGUGAUAGACCAUAUUAGCAAUUGAUAAGAGUUGGUACAACUCCAAUUAUUUAUAU
Molecule: long non-coding RNA, 458 nt
Filed under: Elaeis guineensis (African oil palm)
Lineage: Eukaryota; Viridiplantae; Streptophyta; Magnoliopsida; Arecales; Arecaceae
Description: long non-coding RNA (EGUI_LNC031313)
Source: RNAcentral